CUUGAUGAGGAGCAGGUGAGGAGCAGCCAGAACAGAGCAAGAAGUUGAUGAUCUUGGAGAUAAAAGAGGCUUUAUGUUUUGAGAGCGCACAGGCAAAGGCACCUCAACUGAGGACCAACUCUUCUUUGGUUCAGACUAAGGAAAGGGUACGUGGUUAGCGUGCGAGAAUGCAUGUCCUGCAGAUUCUCUGUCUACCGGUCAUCGUUGCCUUGUGCCACGCUUCUCCGGACACCACCCUGAAUGACCAGUGGGAACUGUGGAAAAGUCAACAUGAAAAAAUGUACACAGAGCAGGUGAGAAGUGGACAAUAUGACAUAGAG
Scleropages formosus (Asian bonytongue) is the source of this 320-nucleotide long non-coding RNA. RefSeq lists it as uncharacterized. Lineage: Eukaryota; Metazoa; Chordata; Actinopteri; Osteoglossiformes; Osteoglossidae. The transcript is spliced from 3 exons. The record is from RefSeq and is a predicted model, not a curated record.